This 478-nucleotide ribosomal RNA is filed under the name uncultured bacterium. RNAcentral's name for it is "partial 16S ribosomal RNA". It matches the Rfam family "Bacterial small subunit ribosomal RNA", at positions 28 to 507 of the family's 1533-position model. The record is from RNAcentral.
GACGAACGCUGGUGGCGUGCUUAACACAUGCAAGUCGAACGGGAUUUAGUAAACAGAAGCCUCGGUGGAAGAUUACUAAUGAGAGUGGCGAACGGGUGAGUAACGCGUGAGCAACCUGCCUAUGACAGUGGGAUAGCCUCGGGAAACCGGGAUUAAUACCGCAUAAAAUCGUAGAAACACAUGUUUUAACGGUCAAAGAUUUAUCGGUCAUAGAUGGGCUCGCGUCUGAUUAGCUAGUUGGUGAGAUAACAGCCCACCAAGGCGACGAUCAGUAGCCGGUAUGAGAGGAUGAACGGCCACAUUGGAACUGAGACACGGUCCAAACUCCUACGGGAGGCAGCAGUGGGGAAUAUUGCACAAUGGGGGAAACCCUGAUGCAGCGACGCCGCGUGAACGAAGAAGGUAUUCGUAUCGUAAAGUUCUGUCCUAUGGGAAGAUAAUGACAGUACCAUAGAAGAAAGCCCCGGCUAAAUACGUG